AAAGUCGUAACAAGGUUUCCGUAAACACACCUGCGGAAGCCCUGUGCGCCCAGUCCCCCCGGGGGCGAGGAAUGCAGUCUGCUGGAACGAACAUUCGAAUCAGCAGCCGUGCCCCCGGGCAUGGUACACAGACUAGAUGCGUUUCGCUGUCUCCCCCGGGAGCAGUAUUGAUAUAGUCGGUCCCAGCGGCCAUUAGCCCCUGGAGCCCCCGAGGUGAACCUGCGGAAGGAUCAUUAAAAGAGAUAGCCCUUCGGGGCGACCCUCCACCCAUUGCCUGUUAUACAUUAGUUGCUUUGGCGGGCUGGGCUCUGCCCCGCUGGCUCACAAGCUCGCGAGCCCCGCCGAAGGUCAUCAAUUAAAACUCUGAAGUAAACCUUGAAGUCUGAAUAUAAACUAUGAAAAUAGCCUAAAACUUUCAACAACGGAUCUCUUGGUUCUG
RNAcentral lists this unclassified non-coding RNA (439 nucleotides) under Ascomycota sp. Its description in RNAcentral is "partial contains small subunit ribosomal RNA, internal transcribed spacer 1, and 5.8S ribosomal RNA". The record is from RNAcentral. Lineage: Eukaryota; Fungi; Ascomycota.